GACAGAGGGUGCAAACGUUGUUCGGAAUUACUGGGCGUAAAGCGAGUGUAGGCGGUCUUCUAAGUCGGAUGUGAAAGCCCCGGGCUCAACCCGGGAAGUGCACUCGAAACUGGAAGGCUAGAGUAUCGGAGAGGUUGGUGGAAUUCUCGGUGUAGAGGUGAAAUUCGUAGAUAUCAGGAGGAACACCGGUGGCGAAGGCGGUUCUCUGGGCAUUACCUGACGCUGAGGAGCGAAAGUGUGGGGAGCGAACAGG
RNAcentral lists this ribosomal RNA (253 nucleotides) under uncultured bacterium. RNAcentral's name for it is "partial 16S ribosomal RNA". It matches the Rfam family "Bacterial small subunit ribosomal RNA", at positions 524 to 776 of the family's 1533-position model. The record is from RNAcentral.